AGUGAACGCUGGCGGUAGGCCUAACACAUGCAAGUCGAACGGCAGCACAGUAGGAGCUUGCUCUUACGGGUGGCGAGUGGCGGACGGGUGAGGAAUACAUCGGAAUCUACUUUUUCGUGGGGGAUAACGUAGGGAAACUUACGCUAAUACCGCAUACGACCUACGGGUGAAAGCAGGGGAUCUUCGGACCUUGCGCGAUUGAAUGAGCCGAUGUCGGAUUAGCUAGUUGGCGGGGUAAAGGCCCACCAAGGCGACGAUCCGUAGCUGGUCUGAGAGGAUGAUCAGCCACACUGGAACUGAGACACGGUCCAGACUCCUACGGGAGGCAGCAGUGGGGAAUAUUGGACAAUGGGCGCAAGCCUGAUCCAGCCAUACCGCGUGGGUGAAGAAGGCCUUCGGGUUGUAAAGCCCUUUUGUUGGGAAAGAAAAGCAGCAGGUUAAUACCCCGCUGUCCUGACGGUACCCAAAGAAUAAGCACCGGCUAACUUCGUG
This 492-nucleotide ribosomal RNA is filed under the name uncultured bacterium. Its description in RNAcentral is "partial 16S ribosomal RNA". It matches the Rfam family "Bacterial small subunit ribosomal RNA", at positions 29 to 507 of the family's 1533-position model. The record is from RNAcentral.